Molecule: long non-coding RNA, 313 nt
Filed under: Sinocyclocheilus grahami
Lineage: Eukaryota; Metazoa; Chordata; Actinopteri; Cypriniformes; Cyprinidae
Description: lncRNA (ENSSGRG00000016505.1)
Source: RNAcentral
UUCCUCCUACCUCAUACUAUUUUUUCUUGAUUAUUUUUCAGAGGAUGAUGUGAUCUAUGAGGAGGUGCAGAGGUCUGGCGAGCCCGGGCUGAUAGACAACGGCUGGGGCUCCAGUGAGUUUGAGAGUUACGAUGAGCAGUCAGACAGCGAGACCAAGCAGCCCACUCGCAAUAAGGUUCAACAGCUCAUGAAAGCAGCUAGGAAUGGCACGAAAGAUGGACUGGAAAAGACCAAAAUAGCCAUGAUGCGUAAAGUGUCCUUCCUGAGUAAAAAAGACUGCACAGGUUUGACUUUUUGACUCUCAUUUCCUCUU